GGAAGAAUACGUUAAAAGGUAAACGAGCUGAUUGCUAAUCAGUAGCUCUGAAAUAUAGCCUUGUGGGUUCGAUUCCCACUUCUUCCGCCA
This 90-nucleotide transfer RNA is filed under the name Escherichia phage SelmaRatti. Its description in RNAcentral is "tRNA-Ser". It matches the Rfam family "tRNA". Rfam says of the family: Transfer RNA (tRNA) molecules are approximately 80 nucleotides in length. Their secondary structure includes four short double-helical elements and three loops (D, anti-codon, and T loops). The record is from RNAcentral. Lineage: Duplodnaviria; Heunggongvirae; Uroviricota; Caudoviricetes; Demerecviridae.